UACGGAGGGUGCAAGCAUUAAUCGGCUUUAUUGGGCGUAAAGGGCGCGUAGGUGGGAUGUUAAGUCAGAUGUGAGAUCCCGAGGCUCAACCUCGGAACAGCAUUUGAAACUGGCAUUCUUGAGGGUAGGCGGAGAAAAUGGAAUUCCACAAGUAGCGGUGAAAUGCGUAGAGAUGUGGAAGAACACCGGUGGCGAAGGCGAUUUUCUAGCUUAUUCCUGACACUGAGGCGCGAAAGCAAGGGGAGCAAACAGG
RNAcentral lists this ribosomal RNA (253 nucleotides) under uncultured bacterium. RNAcentral describes it as "partial 16S ribosomal RNA". It matches the Rfam family "Bacterial small subunit ribosomal RNA", at positions 524 to 776 of the family's 1533-position model. The record is from RNAcentral.